This 595-nucleotide ribosomal RNA is filed under the name uncultured marine eukaryote. RNAcentral's name for it is "SSU rRNA". It matches the Rfam family "Eukaryotic small subunit ribosomal RNA", at positions 1 to 660 of the family's 1831-position model. The record is from RNAcentral.
AACCUGGUUGAUCCUGCCAGUAGUCAUAUGCUUGUCUCAAAGACUAAGCCAUGCACGUCUAAGUACAAACUAAAUGAUGGUGAAACUGCAAAUGGCUCAUUACAACGGUUAUGAUGUACCCGGGAGUUCCGAUGGAUAUUUCCAGUAACACUAGAACUAAUACAUGCUCCUGCGUUUAUUAGUUUCGCACAGUCCGUCGCUGAGUCAUGGUAAACAGUUGAUCGACUCGACGUCCCGGAACAGUUUCCGCCCCAUCAGCUUCGAUGGUUGGGUAUUGGCCUACCAUUGCAACAACGGGUAACGAGGAAUUAGGGUUUGAUUUCGGAGAGGGAGCCUGAGAAACGGCUACCACAUCUACGGAUGGCAGCAGGCGCGCAAAUUACCCAAUGCAGACACUGUGAGGUAGUGACGAGAAAUAAUAAAGCGGGACUUCUGUUUCGCUAUUAUAAUGAGGAAUAACCAAAGGUCAUUCCGAUUAGCAACUGAUGGGAAAGUCUGGUGCCAGCAGCCGCGGUAAUACCAGCGUCAGUAGCAUAUAUUAAAAUUGUUGCAGUUAAAACGUCCGUAGUCUGUACGUCGUCCCAAACUCACUGCA